Molecule: long non-coding RNA, 922 nt
Organism: Brassica napus (rape)
Lineage: Eukaryota; Viridiplantae; Streptophyta; Magnoliopsida; Brassicales; Brassicaceae
Exons: 3
Source: RefSeq, a predicted model, not a curated record
UCAAUCCAUUCUGAAUAUUUUCCAUGAGCUCACUGAAGAUCCGGCACUUAGCUAAAAAUACAUUUAUUUUUCCAAUCUUCACGAAUACAAAGUGUCUCCACACUUAGAAAAAUACUCUCUUUGUAGAAUAAAACCUCGCUCGUUCUAUUUUCUUCAAAAUUAAAAAUAUUCUGCGAGCGGGUCGUUACAGCUAUCCUACGGAAUUUCUUUUGUUUUAAAGUUAAUUUUUUUUUUGAGAUUUUUAAAAACAAAAAUGGUAUGUUGACAAACAAAAAUAAUAAUGAAGCCAAGUUAAAAAAAAAAUCAAUUAAAAGAAGAGAUUUAAUGUAAAAACAGUUUUUUUUAAAACAUUAUUUAGCAAACCUAAUUUAUGUUAAUAAAUCGAAGCCCAUAUUUUUUCCGAAAAAAAAACAGAAACUCUUUUCGCACUACCAACUUUUCUAGUUCCAUCGAAAGUUCUAUAUUCUUAUAUGUUUCUCUGCAGCCGACGGAUGCCUUGCGCUUGCUUUCUAAACAAUCGAGGGAAAAUAAGUUAAUGUCUUCAGUCUAACAACUGCAGAAGAUGGAUCUAUUGUUAAUUUCAGCGUUUGGCAUAAAGAGACCAGCUAAGGUAUGGAAUACCAAGACCCUUCAAUCGGAUAGACAGAGCCCGGCUUCAGUUUUAAAAACAGGGGAAAAACCCUUGCAAGCCUUUGAUCGGUAAAGGAACAGGGUGGAAUGAGUAACAAAUUGGAUUGAUUGUAGAAGGUCUUAAUAAAUGAGAAGCUAAUAGACGAUUUUUCAUAAGAGAAGUCGGAUUGACUUGAUUGUCUCAGCACUAUUUAAGUGCUAGGUUGAUAAAUAUUAUUGUUCAGAGCAUAUAUGAUAUUGCUGUUUCAGCUCUGUUUAAAUGGUAGAUUUAUAAAUAUUAUUUUUCAGAGGA